CUUAUACUCCCUCCGUUCUAAAAUUCUUGUCUUAGGUUUGUGUAUAAAUGGAUGUAUCUAAAUACUAAAACAUGACUACAUACAUUCAUAUCUAGACAAAUCUAAGAUAAGAAUUUUGAGACGGAGAAAGUAGUUA
Non-coding RNA from Hordeum vulgare subsp. vulgare (domesticated barley), 136 nucleotides. NCBI's taxonomy places the organism in Eukaryota, Viridiplantae, Streptophyta, Magnoliopsida, Poales, Poaceae. The record is from Rfam.